GGCUACACACGUGCUACAAUGGGUAGAACAGAGAGUUGCAAAGCCGUGAGGUGAAGCUAAUCUCAGAAAACUAUUCUUAGUUCGGAUUGUACUCUGCAACUCGAGUACAUGAAGUUGGAAUCGCUAGUAAUCGCGAAUCAGCAAUGUCGCNGGUGAAUACGUUCUCGGGUCUUGUACACACCGCCCGUCACACCACGAGAGUUGGUUGCACCCGAAGUAGCAGGCCUAACCGUAAGGAGGGAUGCUCCGAGGGUGUGAUUAGCGAUUGGGGUGAAGUCGUAACAAGGUAUCCGUACGGGAACGU
This 304-nucleotide ribosomal RNA is filed under the name uncultured Fusobacterium sp. RNAcentral's name for it is "bacterial SSU rRNA". It matches the Rfam family "Bacterial small subunit ribosomal RNA", at positions 1212 to 1513 of the family's 1533-position model. The record is from RNAcentral. Lineage: Bacteria; Fusobacteriati; Fusobacteriota; Fusobacteriia; Fusobacteriales; Fusobacteriaceae.